RNAcentral lists this ribosomal RNA (508 nucleotides) under uncultured bacterium. RNAcentral's name for it is "partial 16S ribosomal RNA". It matches the Rfam family "Bacterial small subunit ribosomal RNA", at positions 29 to 523 of the family's 1533-position model. The record is from RNAcentral.
AUUGAACGCUGGCGGCAGGCCUAACACAUGCAAGUCGAGCGGCAGCGGGAAAGUAGCUUGCUACUUUUGCCGGCGAGCGGCGGACGGAUGAGUAAUGACUGGGGAUCUGCCCAGUCGAGGGGGAUAACAGUUGGAAACGACUGCUAAUACCGCAUACGCCUUACGGGGGGAAGGAGGGGACCUUCGGGCCUUUCGCGAGUGGAUGAACCCAGGUGGGAUUAGCUAGUUGUGGGGGUAAUGGCUCACCAAGGCGACGAUCCCUAGCUGGUCUGGAAGGAUGAUCAGCCAAACUGGAACUGAGACACGGUCCAGACUCCUACGGGAGGCAGCAGUGGGGAAUAUUGCACAAUGGGGGAAACCCUGAUGCAGCCAUGCCGCGUGUGUGAAGAAGGCCUUCGGGUUGUAAAGCACUUUCAGCGAGGAGGAAAGGUUGGUAGCUAAUAACUGCCAGCUGUGACGUUACUCGCAGAAGAAGCACCGGCUAACUCCGUGCCAGCAGCCGCCGUAA